GAUGAACGCUAGCUACAGGCUUAACACAUGCAAGUCGAGGGGCAGCGGGAUUGAAGCUUGCUUUCUUCGCCGGCGACCGGCGCACGGGUGCGUAACGCGUAUCGAACCUACCCUUUACUCGGGGAACAGCCUUGCGAAAGCAAGAUUAAUGCCCGAUGUUCCGCGUUUGCUGCAUGGCAAAUUCGGCAAAGAUUUAUUGGUAAAGGAUGGCGAUGCGUCCCAUUAGUUAGUUGGCGGGGUAACGGCCCACCAAGACGACGAUGGGUAGGGGUUCUGAGAGGAAGGUCCCCCACAUUGGAACUGAGACACGGUCCAAACUCCUACGGGAGGCAGCAGUGAGGAAUAUUGGUCAAUGGGCGCAAGCCUGAACCAGCCAAGUAGCGUGCAGGAUGACGGCCCUAUGGGUUGUAAACUGCUCUCAGUCGGGAAUAACUCGUCGGUCGUGACCGACGUUGCAGGUACCGUCAUAAGAAGGACCGGCUAAUUCCGUG
RNAcentral lists this ribosomal RNA (491 nucleotides) under uncultured bacterium. RNAcentral describes it as "bacterial SSU rRNA". It matches the Rfam family "Bacterial small subunit ribosomal RNA", at positions 28 to 507 of the family's 1533-position model. The record is from RNAcentral.